This 73-nucleotide transfer RNA is filed under the name Tetrastes bonasia (hazel grouse). RNAcentral's name for it is "tRNA-Asn". It matches the Rfam family "tRNA". Rfam says of the family: Transfer RNA (tRNA) molecules are approximately 80 nucleotides in length. Their secondary structure includes four short double-helical elements and three loops (D, anti-codon, and T loops). Lineage: Eukaryota; Metazoa; Chordata; Aves; Galliformes; Phasianidae. The record is from RNAcentral.
UAGGCAGAAGCCAAUAGGUUAGGGCGUCUAGCUGUUAAUUAGAAUAAUAUGGGAUCGAAACCCAUCUGCCUAG